Molecule: microRNA precursor, 68 nt
Organism: Lepisosteus oculatus (spotted gar)
Lineage: Eukaryota; Metazoa; Chordata; Actinopteri; Semionotiformes; Lepisosteidae
Rfam family: mir-8/mir-141/mir-200 microRNA precursor family
About the family: The bounds of the precursors are predicted based on conservation and base pairing and are not generally known.
Source: Rfam
AUUGACAUCUUACUAGGCAGCAUUGGAUGUGAUCUCCCUUUCUAAUACUGCCUGGUAAUGAUGAUGAU